RNAcentral lists this ribosomal RNA (450 nucleotides) under uncultured bacterium. RNAcentral's name for it is "bacterial SSU rRNA". It matches the Rfam family "Bacterial small subunit ribosomal RNA", at positions 340 to 786 of the family's 1533-position model. The record is from RNAcentral.
UACGGGAGGCAGUGGGGAAUAUUGCACAAUGGGCGCAAGCCUGAUGCAGCCAUGCCGCGUGUAUGAAGAAGGCCUUCGGGUUGUAAAGUACUUUCAGUCGUGAGGAAGGUGUUAAGGUUAAUAACCUUAGCAAUUGACGUUAGCGACAGAAGAAGCACCGGCUAACUCCGUGCCAGCAGCCGCGGUAAUACGGAGGGUGCGAGCGUUAAUCGGAAUUACUGGGCGUAAAGGGCACGCAGGCGGUUAAUUAAGUUGGAUGUGAAAUCCCCGGGCUUAACCUGGGAAUGGCAUUCAAGACUGGUUAGCUAGAGUCUUGUAGAGGGGGUAGAAUUCCAUGUGUAGCGGUGAAAUGCGUAGAGAUGUGGAGGAAUACCGGUGGCGAAGGCGGCCCCUGGACAAAGACUGACGCUCAUGUGCGAAAGCGUGGGGAGCAAACAGGGAUUAGAUACC